Molecule: long non-coding RNA, 3674 nt
Filed under: Homo sapiens (human)
Lineage: Eukaryota; Metazoa; Chordata; Mammalia; Primates; Hominidae
Description: HSALNT0109763
Source: RNAcentral
CACUGCAUGAACACAAUACUACGAGGUUAUGUACAAUACCUGCAGUUUAGAGUUCUAAAAACUAAGGUUUAAAGAAGUGGGUUUUCCAAAGUCACACACCUAACAAGUGGUGGAGUCAGAACUCCAUCUCACGGGCCCGAAGUGGCUCUUUACUACCACGUGACCCAUCUCAUGCUACCUCGCGGGGGAAACAUUCUUGACCAGCUUUGAGACAUUCAAGUCCCUCUUGGGUCACAAAUAAUGCUGCACUUCCCCUCCAGUCCCCGAGAUCUACCGGAAGCAACACACUUAAAAGCCCAAGAUAAGCUUGGGUGAGCUGAUGUCUGGACCCAAACCAGACAGCACGCCGACUCUCUGGACCCCGGGAGAUGCCACUUGCUGAGGCUUCGCCGAUGGGGCUCCUGAGGGGUAUCGGCCCCUCUCCUGCGACUGCACCCUAGUGCUGUCGUCCAGGGCGGGGAGGGACGGGGUCAUUCGGAGGCGGCCGCAGGCCAGGGACCUACCCUCCUACGCGCCGCAGACCGCGGGGUACUCGGACCCCCGCCCCCACCGCCCUUCCUUCAAACUGCAAGCGAGCAGGAGAACGAGGGACGAGCCCCAGAAGAAAGUUCUCCACCUCCCUCGCCCGAAGUUCCAUAUUCCAGGGAGGCAACUGAUGCCAGGCGAAGAGGGAGGCGCCCCGGGGGGACCCCCUCGCGCCGGGCGUUUUCGGAGGCCGCAGGCCAGGGGGCGAGGCGCGGUGUCCGGGUCUCCUCCGCGGGCAGUCGGCGAUCCUGGGGUGCCGAGGGAGCAGCGCCCCCUUCCCCCGACAGCGUCCUCCCCGACCUGAGGCGCCCACCCCGGUCCACUUCUUCAAUACCUAGAAGAGCUCCCUGAACACAGGAAGCAUUCAAUAAGCUACUGUUGAAUACAUGUAAGAUGGAUGGGAUCUCAUUCCACCCUUUGAAGAAGCAUGGACAGGUAUCUGCUCUCCAAAGGCGGAGAGAUGGAAGAGGAGGCAAGCAGCACCCUAAAAUGGACUAUCAAUCUUACCUGAGGUUUUGGGACAAGCUUAUCACGAAUCUGAUUUUUUUUUCUUUCUUGCUUAAAAUUUUUUUUUGAGACGAAGUCUCACUCUGUCACCCAGGCUGGAGUGCAAUGGCACCAUCUAGGCUCACUGCAACCUCCGCCUCCCAGGUUCAAGUGAUUCUCCUGCCUCAGCCUCCUGAGUAGCUGGGAUUACAGGUGCCCGCCACCAUCCCUGGCUAAUUUUUGUAUUUUUAGUAGAGAUGGGGUUUCACCAUAUUGGUCAGGCUGGUCUCGAACUCCUGACCUCGUGAUCCUCCAGCCUCGGCCUCCCAAAGUGCUGGGAUUACAGGCAUGAGCCACUGCACCCAGCCGACUUUUCUUAUUCCCUCUGAAACAGGCCUGGUUUCCAGGAGAAAAGAAACAUGAUGAUUUCUUCCUUUUCCUUAAGAUGUUUGUUUCCCUCUCUCCUUCAGGGAUCAUUAGGCAGGAGAGAUCCCAAGAGCCUGUUUCCACACUAGGAAGGGGAAGUUCUUGAUUUUCUCCUACUGCUUCUGAAAUUUUCCCAACCCCAUAGUCACAGCUGCAGUUUUACCUAACAGGAUGUGAAAUCUCUCUUCUGAGUAUCCUUUGGCCUUUUCCAGACUUUUUUUUCCCCCUUAAGAUGGGGCCUUGCUGUGUCACCCAGGCUGAAGUGCAGUAGCCCACUGCAGUCUUGAACUCCUGGGCUCAAGCAAUCCUCCUGCCUCUGCCUCCUGAAUAGUUGGGAUUACAAGUGUGCACCACCAUGCCCAGCUAAUUUUUUUAUGUUUAACACAGAGGAGGUCAAGGCUGGUCUUGAACUCCUGGGCUCAAGUAAUCCUCCGGCCUCAGCCUCCCAAAGUGUUGGGAUUACAGGUGUGAGCCACCGCGCCCAGCCCUUCUUCAGAUUUGUGCCCCAUUCCUGUUGCUCUACACCUGGAGCUGAUAGAAGAACACAUUUCCUUUCUCUGCUGGCUUGUAGCUCCAGGUUUCUCUCCAGGCAGGUUACUAAUGAGUUCCUAGAUAACCCUCAAAGUCAAAGUUUGUACACAUGACCUUUCUUUUUAUUUUUUGAGAUGGAGUUUUGCUUUUAUUGCCCAGGCUAGAGUGCAGUGGUGCAAUCUCGGCUCACUGCAACCUCCACCUUCCGGUUUCAAGCAAUUCUCCUGCCUCAGCCUCCCAAGUAGCUGGGAUUACAGGCGCCUGCCACCACGCCCAGCUAAUUUUUUUGUAUUUUUAGUAGAGACGGAGUUUCACCAUGUUGGUCAGGCUGAUCUCGAACUGCUGACCUUGUGAUCCACCUGCCUCAGCCUCCCAAAGUGCUGGGAUUACAGGUGUGAGCCACCGCGCCCAGCCACAUGACCUUUCAAUGUGAUCAUUUCUCUCUUGUACUUUUCCACAUUGAGUUUUCCUAGCUAGUCCCUCGAAUAAACUUCCAAAGAUGCAAAUGCUCAGUUUCCCUGAUAGGCUUUUAAAACAUCACCAGAAAGUCACAUUGAGAUGAGAUUUUAAGUUAUAUUUGUGGGUAGUCAGAGCAAUGACCCCGAAAGAAACAGAAAGCCCAAGCCAGCCUGCAAGACAUGUGAGCGCUCCUGGGAACUGACUGGUCUGCUUUUGUUCCCAGACUUUGAUUAAUGGGGAUUCCUGGCAGGAGGUCUCAUGAGAGCCAAAGCAGGCAGUGGCUGAGCUGCUUGGAGAUCUUGCUUGCUUAUCUCCAAGUGGGCAGACAGUCUUUGGGCGACCAACGAAGAAGACUCCUAAAUCUCCCUCUUUAUGAGAAGGGCUCCCAGGCUGCAGCUCUGUUCUUGCCCCUACGUUCAGCUCAAUCACAGCCAGCCUCUUAUAUUCACCCUAGCUCACCCUCCUUCUGCCUUGUGAGAAAGAAGUUUGCUCUGCAAAUGAUCAUUUUCACUGCUUUGUGAUAAUAUAAUCUGCUCCUAUUUUCAACAACAUGUCUUUAAUGAGCUGACUGCAUUAGCUGUCUUUCAUGUUGUUAGCUUCAACGCAGCCUUCAACACACCAUUCUGGCUUCCAUCCCUGCCACUCCACUGAAACUGCCUUUGCUAAAGCUUCCACUCAAGGAAGAACCCUUCCAUCUGCCGCUCUAUAAUCAUAUCCUUCUCUUUCAGAGGAAACCACCAUCCUAAGUUUUGUGUUAAUAAUUAUGUUAUCACAAAUAUAUGUGUCCCUAAACACUACAUGGUUUGUUUUUGCGUGUUUUUGAGCUUUUUUAAAAUAGAAUCAUUCUGCAUUAUUCCCAUGCAACUUGCAGCUUUUGCCCAGCAUUAUGUUUCUGAGAUUCACCUAUCUGAUUUCUCUGUUAUAUAGGUAUUUUGUUGUAAAAACAUAACACAAUUUAAUUACCCAUUCUACUUUUGGAUGUUGGAUUGGCUCCAGUUUUUGCUAUUGCAAACAGUGUUGCUGUGAAUAUUCUUAAAUAUUUCUCCGAUACAUGUGUGUAAGAAUGUUUUUUAGGAUAUAUACCUAGAAGUGGAAUCAUCAGGUCUUAAGGUAAGUGCACGUUCAAAUUUACUAGGUAAUGUCAAACUGUCUAAACUGGUUGUUUUCUAAAAUUGUUUUCUAAAGUGGUCAUACCAAUUUUCAUUUCUAACACCUGUAUAUGAAAGUCAUCUGGCCGGGCAUGGUGG